CCUAGGCAACCUGACUAAGCCCCCAGCAUCCCUGGGCCACAUGCACCCGUGUCCCCCCCAGCUUGCCCUCCUCAGACAUGUGUAGAUAGUGUUGUCCACCAAAGCAACUGGGACCUCAGUGAAGAUGAGAUCCUCACACUGCUUCCGUACGUACCUAACAGAUCUCAGCAGAUGGCCUGCUGCUGCCUCUACACACAGGUGACACACGAGAGGACAGCCACUCAGUGCUCCGAAACUUUGCCCUCUUGCACAGAGCAACAGUUCCCGGAACUGCAUCCAGCGUGCCUUGAGGAUGAUCAUAGUUGUGGUUUCAGAGAUGCUCCAAUAGCAUUUAUAGAAUACUGUGAAAUUUACAGGUAAGCAUAGGAAUCUAUGCUUAAGAAAAUAUUCGUUUUGGACAAGUGAUCUAUCAGACAGAGUGACAGGAUUUGGAGAUGUGGGAGUGAGUUCAAAUAAUAAAGAAACAUCUCAUUGGGCAUUUU
Molecule: long non-coding RNA, 482 nt
Filed under: Ictidomys tridecemlineatus (thirteen-lined ground squirrel)
Lineage: Eukaryota; Metazoa; Chordata; Mammalia; Rodentia; Sciuridae
Description: lncRNA (ENSSTOG00000031528.1)
Source: RNAcentral